UUCAACUUUUGACCUCGGAUCAGGUAGGGAUACC
RNAcentral lists this ribosomal RNA (34 nucleotides) under Alternaria sp. 2 JD-2019. RNAcentral describes it as "partial 28S ribosomal RNA". The record is from RNAcentral. Lineage: Eukaryota; Fungi; Ascomycota; Dothideomycetes; Pleosporales; Pleosporaceae.